This 253-nucleotide ribosomal RNA is filed under the name uncultured bacterium. RNAcentral describes it as "partial 16S ribosomal RNA". It matches the Rfam family "Bacterial small subunit ribosomal RNA", at positions 524 to 776 of the family's 1533-position model. The record is from RNAcentral.
UACGUAGGGCGCAAGCGUUGUCCGGAAUUAUUGGGCGUAAAGAGCUCGUAGGCGGGCAGGUAAGUCCGUGGUGAAAUCUCUGAGCUUAACUCAGAAACUGCCAUGGAUACUAUUUGUCUUGAAUAUUGUGGAGGUAAGCGGAAUAUGUCAUGUAGCGGUGAAAUGCUUAGAUAUGACAUAGAACACCAAUUGCGAAGGCAGCUUACUACACAGUUAUUGACGCUGAGGCACGAAAGCGUGGGGAUCAAACAGG